RNAcentral lists this non-coding RNA (605 nucleotides) under Pan troglodytes (chimpanzee). Lineage: Eukaryota; Metazoa; Chordata; Mammalia; Primates; Hominidae. The record is from RNAcentral.
UGACCUGAGAUAUCGGGGGUAGGGGUUGCUCUGCUUGUGUAAGUCCCAGAGUGUGAAGGCCAGAGAACCAAGAGCUCCAAUGUCCCAGCUCAAGAAGAGAGAAAACUUUUGUGGAUAGCUAAGUUACUGCUGGCCAUCUGAUUAUAGCAAUGGCUUCCAGGAGCAUCACGACCUGUGCAGACUCACCAGCAUCAUAACAGGAGGGUCCCACGAUCAUGAGCACAUUGCCUUCAGCAUCUAGCACUGAAUAUGGUGAAUUGCACUCUGAAGAGCUUCCUAAGCUUAUAAGAAAGUGAUUCUGAAAAGCUCAACAUUUUGGUAGAAUGGAGAGAUUUGACAUUGCUUCUGCUCCAAAAGCAAAAGACUUGGGAAGGGCACCCUGGGAGUUGAGAACAUCCACCACAGAGAGGUAAGUUCCUACUUGGCAGUUUGCCGCAGCAAUUACCACCUCGUGCUCCAUCACUACCUUUCCACUCCGUCUCCCACCCUUACACCAGGCUUGUGAUUCAAAGGCCUUCAGGCCAGGGGUAACAAACUAUGGCCUGUGGGCCAAAUCUAAUCCACUGACUGUUUUCCAAAUAAAGUUCCACUGGAACACAGGCAUA